GACGAACGCUGGCGGCGUGCCUAAUACAUGCAAGUAGAACGCUGAAGGAGGAGCUUGCUUCUCUGGAUGAGUUGCGAACGGGUGAGUAACGCGUAGGUAACCUGCCUGGUAGCGGGGGAUAACUAUUGGAAACGAUAGCUAAUACCGCAUAAGAGUAGAUGUCGCAUGACAUUUGCUUAAAAGGUGCAAUUGCAUCACUACCAGAUGGACCUGCGUUGUAUUAGCUAGUUGGUGAGGUAACGGCUCACCAGGGCAACGAUACAUAGCCGACCUGAGAGGGUGAUCGGCCACACUGGGACUGAGACACGGCCCAGACUCCUACGGGAGGCAGCAGUAGGGAAUCUUCGGCAAUGGACGGAAGUCUGACCGAGCAACGCCGCGUGAGUGAAGAAGGUUUUCGGAUCGUAAAGCUCUGUUGUAAGAGAAGAACGAGUGUGAGAGUGGAAAGUUCACACUGCGACGGUAUCUUACCAGAAAGGGACGGCUAACUACGUG
Molecule: ribosomal RNA, 495 nt
Filed under: uncultured bacterium
Lineage: Bacteria
Description: partial 16S ribosomal RNA
Rfam family: Bacterial small subunit ribosomal RNA
Source: RNAcentral